CCUUAAAUAACGGAAACAGGUGCUUACCGGACCGAAAUAGGCCGGAGGCUUAAAAGGGAAGCUCGGUGCAAAGCCGACGCGGUCCCGCCACUGUAACGGAAGAGUCUAUCAGCAUUUAUGCCACUGUCAGCCCGGGCUUGACGGGAAGGCCGCUGACGACGAUGACGCCUCAGCCAGGAGACCUGCCUGUUUCGACGCACUGCU
This 204-nucleotide non-coding RNA is filed under the name Paenibacillus sabinae. Lineage: Bacteria; Bacillati; Bacillota; Bacilli; Caryophanales; Paenibacillaceae. The record is from RNAcentral.